GGAUGUGGCGGUGAUCUGGCUGCGACAACUGUCACCCCCUUGAUCGCCAGGACUGACUUGGCUGAUCUGGUUGCCUGGGGGGGGGGUAUCCCCUUUUUCCUUUCCUCAGUGCUCCACGCACAUCCCCCCGAAGCUGCACGCUUGGUCAAAGAGGAUGACCUUCCCUGAUAGAGGAGGACCGUUCUUUGAUCGAGGGUAUACGAGUAGCUGUGCUCCCCUGCUAGAACCUCCAAAUAAGAAAACAACAUCUCUAAAUACUAUUUCUGUCCUUGUUUUACAAGGGAGAAAACAAAGGUUCAGAGAACUUGCUUAAGACCUCAUGGCCAAUAAUCAAUGGAGUUGAGAUUUGUUAAAUA
RNAcentral lists this small nuclear RNA (356 nucleotides) under Ursus maritimus (polar bear). RNAcentral's name for it is "7SK RNA (ENSUMAG00000008725.1)". The stretch from base 1 to 300 matches the Rfam family "7SK RNA". From Rfam's summary of the family: 7SK was discovered as an abundant small nuclear RNA in the mid-70s but a possible function has only recently been suggested. Two independent studies have found that 7SK RNA binds the CDK9/cyclin T complex (known as elongation factor P-TEFb). P-TEFb activates transcription by phosphorylating the C-terminal domain of RNA polymerase II. The record is from RNAcentral. Lineage: Eukaryota; Metazoa; Chordata; Mammalia; Carnivora; Ursidae.